This is a non-coding RNA of Pelobates cultripes (western spadefoot toad), 433 nucleotides long. NCBI's taxonomy places the organism in Eukaryota, Metazoa, Chordata, Amphibia, Anura, Pelobatidae. The record is from the annotation of a GenBank genome assembly.
CUCCGUCGAACUCUGCCCUCUGUGCAGGCGGUUUGGCUCGGAUGCAGGUGAUAUUUUAGAGAUUAGGCUGAUCAGCGCUCGGAGCUAUGAAAAUGGCGUCUAUUCAGUUGCGCUGCCAGGCUCCGCCCCUUCCUGCCUUCAAUAAAUUUUGAAGAAGAUCAUGAGUUGCUUGUUAACAAAUCUCUUUAGUGACUGAAGCUAUUAAGAGAUCAUCCAUGUACUGGAGUAAUACACAUUUCCCUGGAAUGGAUUUGAAAUCUUGCAAAUCUUGACUUAGUGCAGAUCCAAAUAGAGUAGGUGAAUUCUUAAACCCUUGUGGUAACCUGGUCCAGGUCAUCUGACAUUUUGAUCCCGUAACAGUGUCUUCCCAUUGGAUCUCUUUGAGAUCCAAGACUGUGUAGUAAGUUGCCCCACCUGGAAUUAGGGCAAGCAG